GAUCCUGGCUCAGGAUGAACGCUAGCGGCCGGCUUAACACAUGCAAGUCGAGGGGCAGCAUAAUGGAUAGCAAUAUCUAUGGUGGCGACCGGCGCACGGGUGCGUAACGCGUAUGCAACCUACCUUUAACAGGGGAGUAACACUGAGAAAUUGGUACUAAUACCCCAUAAUAUCAUAGAAGGCAUCUUUUAUGGUUGAAAAUUCCGAUGGUUAGAGAUGGGCAUGCGUUGUAUUAG
This 236-nucleotide ribosomal RNA is filed under the name uncultured bacterium. Its description in RNAcentral is "partial 16S ribosomal RNA". It matches the Rfam family "Bacterial small subunit ribosomal RNA", at positions 15 to 244 of the family's 1533-position model. The record is from RNAcentral.